AUCGAACGCUGGCGGUUUGCUUUACACAUGCACGUCGAACGGUAACGCGGACUUCGGCCUGGCGACGAGCNUCCAACGGGUGAGUAAUGCAUCGGAACGUAUCCUUUUGUGGGGGAUAGCCCGGCAAAAGCCGGAUUAAUACCGCAUAAUCUCUGAGGAGGAAAGUGGGGGACCUUCGGGCCUUACGCUGAUGGAGCGGCUGAUGUCGGAUUAGCUUGUUGGUAGGGUAAAGGCCUACCAAGGCGACGAUCCGUAGCUGGUCUGAGAGGACGACCAGCCACACUGGAACUGAGACACGGUCCAGACUCCUACGGGAGGCAGCAGUGGGGAAUUUUGGACAAUGGGGGCAACCCUGAUCCAGCCAUGCCGCGUGCGGGAAGAAGGCCUUCGGGUUGUAAACCGCUUUCAGACGGGAAGAAACAGUACAAGUUAAUACCUUGUACGAAUGACGGUACCGUCAGAAGAAGCACCGGCUAACUACGUGCCAGCAGCCGCGGUAAUACGUAGGGUGCGAGCGUUAAUCGGAAUUACUGGGCGUAAAGAGUGCGCAGGCGGCUCUCUAAGACAGGUGUGAAAUCCCCGGGCUUAACCUGGGAAUGGCGCUUGUGACUGGAGAGCUAGAGUGUGGCAGAGGGGAAUGGAAUUCCUGCUGUAGCAGUGAAAUGCGUAGAUAUCAGGAGGAACACCGAUGGCGAAGGCAGUUCCCUGCGCCAACACUGACGCUCAUGCACGAAAGCGUGGGGAGCAAACAGGAUUAGAUACCCUGGUAGUCCACGCCCUAAACGAUGUCAACUAGUUGUUGGGGAAGGAGACUUCUUUAGUACCGUAGCUAACGCGUGAAGUUGACCGCCUGGGGAGUACGGCCGCAAGAUUAAAACUCAAAGGAAUUGACGGGGACCCGCACAAGCGGUGGAUGAUGUGGAUUAAUUCGAUGCAACGCGAAAAACCUUACCUACCCUUGACAUGUGAGGAAGUUGUCAGAGAUCGCUUGGUGCCCGAAAGGGAACCUCAACACAGGUGCUGCAUGGGUGUCGUCAGCUCGUGUCGUGAGAUGUUGGGUUAAGUCCCGCAACGAGCGCAACCCUUGUCAUUAAUUGCCAUCAUUUAGUUGAGCACUCUAAUGAGACUGCCGGUGACAAACCGGAGGAAGGUGGGGAUGACGUCAAGUCCUCAUGGCCCUUAUGGGUAGGGCUUCACACGUCAUACAAUGGCGCGUACAGAGGGUUGCCAACCCGCAAGGGGGAGCUAAUCCCAGAAAGCGCGUCGUAGUCCGGAUUGUUCUCUGCAACUCGAGAACAUGAAGUCGGAAUCGCUAGUAAUCGCGGAUCAGCAUGUCGCGGUGAAUACGUUCCCGGGUCUUGUACACACCGCCCGUCACACCAUGGGAGUAGGUUUCACCAGAAGUAGCUAGCCCAACCGUAAGGAGGGCGGUUACCACGGUGAGGUCUAUGACUGGGGUGAAGUCGUAACAAGGUAGCCGUAUCGGAAGGUGCGGCUGGAUCACCUCCUUUSUCUAGAGUAAUAGCAAGCAACUUAAUAUUUUGCUUCACGAAGUGCUCACAUGCUUUAGCUGUCUGCUGAACUCGAGACUAUCACUAGACCGGGUCUGUAGCUCAGUUGGUUAGAGCACACGCUUGAUAAGCGUGGGGUCGAUGGUUCAAAUCCAUCCAGACCCACCAACGACCUGAAUAAGGGGCUAUAGCUCAGCUGGGAGAGCACCUGCUUUGCAAGCAGGGGGUCAUCGGUUCGAUCCCGAUUAGCUCCACCAACAUCAGUCAUAUGAUUCGGUGCUAGGUGAAAUUGAGGUGUGGGAAGUGCAGAGUUGAGAGACUCUCUAGUUCUCACCCUUCAAAGGUGAAGCGUUCUUUAACAAUAUGGAAGAAGUAGAUUUGAUGUGUCACUUUUAUGUGAGGUGAUGCGUUAAAUCAUGGGUUUAAAGAUUGUAUUGUUAUGUAUGCAAGAUUUUUUUGUGUGCCUAAACAUGUUCUCUUGAUUUUUUUAGAAUUCAAGUAAUAAGUAAGACAAGCGAUCCUGUAGUGAUGCAAGUUUUUUGUGGUAUGCAAGGCUAUAGGGUCAAGCGAAUAAGUGCAUGUGGUGGAUGCCUUGGAGAUUACAGGCGAUGAAGGACGUGGUAGCCUGCGAUAAACUGCGGGGAGCUGGCAAACAAGCUUCGAUCCGCAGGUUU
This 2185-nucleotide ribosomal RNA is filed under the name uncultured marine bacterium. RNAcentral's name for it is "bacterial SSU rRNA". The stretch from base 1 to 1511 matches the Rfam family "Bacterial small subunit ribosomal RNA". The record is from RNAcentral.